This 487-nucleotide ribosomal RNA is filed under the name uncultured bacterium. Its description in RNAcentral is "bacterial SSU rRNA". It matches the Rfam family "Bacterial small subunit ribosomal RNA", at positions 597 to 1088 of the family's 1533-position model. The record is from RNAcentral.
AACUCUCUGGGUUCACCCACAUGCUGUUUCAAAAACUGCUGUGCUUGAAUGGAGAAGAGGCGUGUGGAACUGCGGGUGUAGCGGUUAAAUGCUUAGAUAUCUGCGAGAAUCCCGUGGCGAAAGCGGCUCGCCUGAUCAUUCUGACACUAACGAACGAACGCGAAGGGAGCAAACAAGAUUGUAUACCCUGGCCGUCCUAGCCCUACGCGAUCUAGACUGGGUGUGCCACACCUACCGCCGUCGUCCCGGAGCUAUUCCUUCCCUCCUGCCCCCGUGGGGUAGGGGCUCAAGAUUGAAAUCCUAGAAUUUGACCGGGCCCCCCCAGAGCGUGGGAAUUUUGGGUUCAAUUUCACAAAACCCUAGAAACCCUUUCUGGGUCCAAAAUGCUGGUGAAAGUUGAAUAAAUCUUUUCCUCCCGAGAAGGACUGCAUGAUUGGCGCUGCUUCGCUGUCCUCUUGUCGUGUCAUGUUCUGUUGGGUUCCGUCCC